RNAcentral lists this transfer RNA (71 nucleotides) under Stegodyphus mimosarum. It matches the Rfam family "tRNA". Rfam says of the family: Transfer RNA (tRNA) molecules are approximately 80 nucleotides in length. The record is from Rfam by way of RNAcentral. Lineage: Eukaryota; Metazoa; Arthropoda; Arachnida; Araneae; Eresidae.
GCCUUUGUAGUGUAAUGGCAACACACUCGAAGAGUACUCGAGAGGUCCAGGUUCGAGUCCUGGCGAGGACA